UGGCGGCACUAGCGCGGUGGUCCCACCUGACCCCAUGCCGAACUCAGAAGUGAAACGCCGUAGCGCCGAUGAUAGUGUGGGGUCUCCCCAUGUGAGAGUAGGGAACUGCCAGGCA
Molecule: ribosomal RNA, 115 nt
Filed under: Klebsiella quasivariicola
Lineage: Bacteria; Pseudomonadati; Pseudomonadota; Gammaproteobacteria; Enterobacterales; Enterobacteriaceae
Source: RNAcentral